RNAcentral lists this ribosomal RNA (433 nucleotides) under uncultured bacterium. RNAcentral's name for it is "partial 16S ribosomal RNA". It matches the Rfam family "Bacterial small subunit ribosomal RNA", at positions 29 to 507 of the family's 1533-position model. The record is from RNAcentral.
AACGAACGCUGGCGGCAUGCCUAACACAUGCAAGUCGAACGAGACCUUCGGGUCUAGUGGCGCACGGGUGCGUAACGCGUGGGAACCUGCCUUUAGGUUCGGGAUAACUCAGAGAAAUUUGAGCUAAUACCGGAUGAUGUCUUCGGACCAAAGAUUUAUCGCCUUUAGAUGGGCCCGCGUUGGAUUAGCUAGUUGGUGGGGUAAAGGCCUACCAAGGCGACGAUCCAUAGCUGGUCUGAGAGGAUGAUCAGCCACACUGGGACUGAGACACGGCCCAGACUCCUACGGGAGGCAGCAGUGGGGAAUAUUGGACAAUGGGCGAAAGCCUGAUCCAGCAAUGCCGCGUGAGUGAUGAAGGCCUUAGGGUUGUAAAGCUCUUUUACCCGAGAUGAUAAUGACAGUAGCGGGAGAAUAAGCUCCGGCUAACUCCGUG